RNAcentral lists this ribosomal RNA (1978 nucleotides) under human metagenome. RNAcentral describes it as "bacterial LSU rRNA". It matches the Rfam family "Bacterial large subunit ribosomal RNA", at positions 1 to 1979 of the family's 2925-position model. The record is from RNAcentral.
UAAAAUAAUUAAGGGCACACAAAGGAUGCCUAGGUAGUAAGAGCCGAUGAAGGACGUGGUAAGCUGCGAUAAGCCUAGAUAAGUUGCAAUCGAACGUAAGAGUCUAGGAUUUCCGAAUGGAGCAAUCUAUUAAGAUGGAGUCUUAAUACGAAAGAGGGAACCGCGUGAACUGAAACAUCUAAGUAACGCGAGGAAAAGAAAGUAAAAACGAUACCCAAAGUAGCGGCGAGCGAAAUGGGUCAAGCCUAAACCUUAAAUAUGUCAAGGAUACAGCCGUUGUAUUUAAGGGGUUGAGGGACAGAGUAGUGAAGAACUGUAAGAUAUUCAAUAUAGUGUAUUGAUGAAUUGGAAUUGUCUGGAAAGGCGAACCGUAGAAGGUGAAAGUCCUGUACAAGUAAAUCCUUACACAUAUAACUCUGCUCCCAAGUAACAUGGAACACGAGGAAUUCUGUGUGAAUCUGUGAGGACCAUAUCUCAUAAGGCUAAAUACUCUUACUAACCGAUAGCGCAUAGUACCGUGAGGGAAAGGUGAAAAGAACCCCUGGAGGGGAGUGAAAUAGAACCUGAAAUUGUGUGCUUACAAGCGGUCAGAGCCAGUAAUGGUGAUGGCGUGCCUUUUGGAGAAUGAUCCUGCGAGUUACGUUAAACGGCGAGGUUAAGUAUAACGGAGCCGAAGGGAAACCAAGUCUUAAUAGGGCGAUUUAGUCGUUUGGCGUAGACGCGAAACCUGGUGAUCUAAACCUGUCCAGGAUGAAGCUGUGGUAAGACACAGUGGAGGUCCUAACCCACCGCCGUUGAAAAGUUGGGGGAUGAGGUAGGUUUAGGGGUGAAAAGCCAAUCGAACCAGGAGAUAGCUCGUUCUCUCCGAAAUGCAUCUAGGUGCAGCCUUGAGUGUUCAAUUAUGGGGGUAGAGCACUGAAUGAUCUAGGGGGCGUAUUGCUUACUGAAAUCAAUCAAACUCCGAAUACCAUAAUUUAGAGCUCAGGAGUGAGACUAUGGGAGUUAACUUCCAUUGUCGAAAGGGAAACAACCCAGACCACCAGCUAAGGUCCCUAAUUAUAACUAAGUGGGAAAGGAGGUGGAGAUUCACAAACAACUAGGAGGUUGGCUUAGAAGCAGCCAUACCUUUAAAGAGUGCGUAAUAGCUCACUAGUCGAGAGUCUCUGCGCCGACAAUGUAACGGGGCUAAGUUAUAAACCGAAGCUGUGGAAUCCGUAAGGAUUGGUAGGAGAGCGUUCUGUAGGCCGUUGAAGGAGAAGGGUAACCGACUCUGGAGGUAUCAGAAGUGAGAAUGCAGGAAUAAGUAGCGAGAAAGGGGGCGAGAAUCCCCCUCGCCGGAAGACCAAGGUUUUCAGGGUAAAGCUUGUCUUCCCUGAGUAAGCCGGGACCUAAGCCCAGGCUAUAAUGCGUAGGCGAAUGGAAAACAGAUUAAUAUUUCUGUGCCAGUCAUAUAUUGUGAUGGAGGGACGCAGAAGGGUAUGCGCGCGGACGAACGGAAGUGUCCGUAGAAGUAUGUAGGAUGACUUGAUAGGAAAAUCCAUUGAGUUAUAUCUGAGGUAUGAUAUACAGUCGUAAGAUGAAUGCGCAAAUCCCACGCUGCCAAGAAAAGCUUCUAACGUUAAUAUUUGACUGCCCGUACUGCAAACCGACACAGGUGGUCAGGAUGAGAAAUCUAAGGCGGACAGGCUAACUCUCGUUAAGGAACUCUGCAAAAUAACCUCGUAACUUCGGGAGAAGAGGAGCCCUUGAGGGUCAGUAUCCACGCGAUACAAAGCGCUCGAGGGUCGCAGUGAAGAGGCUCAAGCAACUGUUUAACAAAAACACAGGUCUAUGCUAAGCUGGAAGGCGAUGUAUAUGGGCUGACACCUGCCCAGUGCUGGAAGGUUAAGAGGAGGAGUGAGAGCUCCGAAUUGAAGCCCCAGUGAACGGCGGCCGUAACUAUAACGGUCCUAAGGUAGCGAAAUUCCUUGUCGGGUAA